RNAcentral lists this ribosomal RNA (429 nucleotides) under Pseudomonadota bacterium. Its description in RNAcentral is "Proteobacteria bacterium partial 16S ribosomal RNA". It matches the Rfam family "Bacterial small subunit ribosomal RNA", at positions 355 to 776 of the family's 1533-position model. The record is from RNAcentral. Lineage: Bacteria; Pseudomonadati; Pseudomonadota.
UGGGGAAUAUUGGACAAUGGGCGAAAGCCUGAUCCAGCCAUGCCGCGUGUGUGAAGAAGGUCUUCGGAUUGUAAAGCACUUUAAGUUGGGAGGAAGGGCAGUAAGCGAAUACCUUGCUGUUUUGACGUUACCGACAGAAUAAGCACCGUCUAACUCUGUGCCAGCAGCCGCGGUAAUACAGAGGGUGCAAGCGUUAAUCGGAAUUACUGGGCGUAAAGCGCGCGUAGGUGGUUCGUUAAGUUGAAUGUGAAAGCCCCGGGCUCAACCUGGGAACUGCAUCCAAAACUGGCGAGCUAGAGUAGGGCAGAGGGUGGUAGAAUUUCCUGUGUAGCGGUGAAAUGCGUAGAUAUAGGAAGGAACACCAGUGGCGAAGGCGACCACCUGGGCUCAUACUGACACUGAGGUGCGAAAGCGUGGGGAGCAAACAGG